Nicotiana tabacum (common tobacco) is the source of this 581-nucleotide non-coding RNA. NCBI's taxonomy places the organism in Eukaryota, Viridiplantae, Streptophyta, Magnoliopsida, Solanales, Solanaceae. The record is from RefSeq and is a predicted model, not a curated record.
CAGACCCUUAUAGUUGUAGCUGUUUGUCAUCUAGACGGUUACAAUUGUCAAAACACACUAUUCUAAACCCCUUUGACCGGGUGUUGCUCAAUCACGCUAAUAUUAAAAAAGGCAACAUUUUCACCUUCUUCUCCCUCCAAUUCCACUGCAAUCAUUAAAACCUGACUACCGAACAACCACAGGAGAGAUACUAUCAGAUUUGUGAAUAUCCACCACAAUUUUGAAAGUGGAAGAGGAAAUAGCAAUCACUUCAAAACCCAAUAAUUUUCACAAACCAAGCAAUUGAUUUGUGCACCCCACACGCCAUUCAGCAAGGUGAUGUGGAAGAAAGAAUUGUGGUGGUCUCCAUCGCCGGUGAUGGUUCAAACUUUUCUGCUAUGUUCUUUGCAAUUGAUGGUUCAAAGAUUUCAACGAUGAGUUUUUGAUAGGUUCCGAUGAAAUUCCUAUUCUUCUCGAUGAAUAUUUGGACGAAGUUCCUGUUGAGAACUUAUUAUUAUUCUAAGGAUUUUGCCGAAUGAAAUUCUGAUGAUUGUCUAUCUUUAAUUAUGAUGAAAGGAAGAAGCUAUUGCAGCAACAGAAAA